GGCCUACGGGGGGCAGCAGUGGGGAAUCUUCCGCAAUGGACGAAAGUCUGACGGAGCAACGCCGCGUGAACGAUGACGGCCUUCGGGUUGUAAAGUUCUGUUAUACGGGACGAAUGGUACGACGGUCAAUACCCGUCGUAAGUGACGGUACCGUAAGAGAAAGCCACGGCUAACUACGUGCCAGCAGCCGCGGUAAUACGUAGGUGGCAAGCGUUGUACGGAAUUAUUGGGCGUAAAGGGCGCGCAGGCGGCGUCGUAAGUCGGUCUUAAAAGUGCGGGGCUUAACCCCGUGAGGGGACCGAAACUGCGAUGCUAGAGUAUCGGAGAGGAAAGCGGAAUUCCUAGUGUAGCGGUGAAAUGCGUAGAUAUUAGGAGGAACACCAGUGGCGAAAGCGGCUUUCUGGACGACAACUGACGCUGAGGCGCGAAAGCCAGGGGAGCAAACGGGAUUAGAUACCCCAGUAGUCC
RNAcentral lists this ribosomal RNA (468 nucleotides) under uncultured Megasphaera sp. Its description in RNAcentral is "bacterial SSU rRNA". It matches the Rfam family "Bacterial small subunit ribosomal RNA", at positions 335 to 796 of the family's 1533-position model. The record is from RNAcentral. Lineage: Bacteria; Bacillati; Bacillota; Negativicutes; Veillonellales; Veillonellaceae.